GACGAACCGUGCGAACGUUGUUCGGAAUCACUGGGCUUAAAGGGCGCGUAGGCGGCCCGACAAGUCAGGGGUGAAAGCCCCCAGCUCAACUGGGGAAGUGCCUUUGAUACUGUCGGGCUCGAGGGAGGCAGGGGUGAUGGGAACUUCCGGUGGAGCGGUGAAAUGCGUUGAUAUCGGAAGGAACGCCGGUGGCGAAAGCGCAUCACUGGUCCUCUUCUGACGCUGAGGCGCGAAAGCCAGGGGAGCAAACGGG
RNAcentral lists this ribosomal RNA (253 nucleotides) under uncultured bacterium. Its description in RNAcentral is "partial 16S ribosomal RNA". It matches the Rfam family "Bacterial small subunit ribosomal RNA", at positions 524 to 776 of the family's 1533-position model. The record is from RNAcentral.